RNAcentral lists this ribosomal RNA (574 nucleotides) under uncultured bacterium. RNAcentral describes it as "partial 16S ribosomal RNA". It matches the Rfam family "Bacterial small subunit ribosomal RNA", at positions 355 to 909 of the family's 1533-position model. The record is from RNAcentral.
UGGGGAAUUUUGGACAAUGGGCGAAAGCCUGAUCCAGCAAUGCCGCGUGUGCGAUGAAGGCCUUCGGGUUGUAAAGCACUUUUGGCAGGAAAGAAACGUCGCGGGUUAAUACCCCCGCAAACUGACGGGUACCUGCAGAAUAAGCACCGGCUAACUACGUGCCAGCAGCCGCGGUAAUACGUAGGGUGCAAGCGUUAAUCGGAAUUACUGGGCGUAAAGCGUGCGCAGGCGGUUCGGAAAAGAAAGAUGUGAAAUCCCCANAGCUUAACUUUGGAACUGCAUUUUUAACUACCGGGCUAGAGUGUGUCAGAGGGAGGUGGAAUUCCGCGUGUAGCAGUGAAAUGCGUAGNUAUGCGGAGGAACACCGAUGGCGAAGGCAGCCUCCUGGGAUAACACUGACGCUCAUGCACGAAAGCGUGGGGAGCAAACAGGAUUAGAUACCCUGGUAGUCCACGCCCUAAACGAUGCUCAACUAGCCUAGUUGGGGGCCCUUUGCGGGGCCUUGGGUAGCCGCAGGCUAACGCGUGAAGUUACCGCCUGGGGAGUACGGUCGCAAGAUUAAAACUCAAAGGAA